RNAcentral lists this ribosomal RNA (303 nucleotides) under uncultured bacterium. RNAcentral's name for it is "partial 16S ribosomal RNA". It matches the Rfam family "Bacterial small subunit ribosomal RNA", at positions 507 to 808 of the family's 1533-position model. The record is from RNAcentral.
AGCAGCAGCCACGGGAAUACGAAGGUCCCGAGCGUUGUCCGGAUUUAUUGGGCGUAAAGCGAGCGCAGGCGGUUAGAUAAGUCUGAAGUUAAAGGCUGUGGCUUAACCAUAGUACGCUUUGGAAACUGUUUAACUUGAGUGCAAGAGGGGAGAGUGGAAUUCCAUGUGUAGCGGUGAAAUGCGUAGAUAUAUGGAGGAACACCGGUGGCGAAAGCGGCUCUCUGGCUUGUAACUGACGCUGAGGCUCGAAAGCGUGGGGAGCAAACAGGAUUAGAUACCCGCGUAGUCCCUGUCUCUUAUACC